ACACAUGCAGGUCGAACGAGAGAUGAGGAGCUUGCUCUUCAAAUCGAGUGGCGAACGGGUGAGUAACGCGUGAGGAACCUGCCUCAAAGAGGGGGACAACAGUUGGAAACGACUGCUAAUACCGCAUAAGCCCACGGCUCGGCAUCGAGCAGAGGGAAAAGGAGCAAUCCGCUUUGAGAUGGCCUCGCGUCCGAUUAGCUAGUUGGUGAGGUAACGGCCCACCAAGGCGACGAUCGGUAGCCGGACUGAGAGGUUGAACGGCCACAUUGGGACUGAGACACGGCCCAGACUCCUACGGGAGGCAGCAGUGGGGAAUAUUGCACAAUGGGGGAAACCCUGAUGCAGCGACGCCGCGUGGAGGAAGAAGGUCUUCGGAUUGUAAACUCCUGUUGUUGAGGAAGAUAAUGACGGUACUCAACAAGGAAGUGACGGCUAACUACGUGCCAGCAGCCGCGGUAAAACGUAGGUCACAAGCGUUGUCCGGAAUUACUGGGUGUAAAGGGAGCGCAGGCGGGAGAACAAGUUGGAAGUGAAAUCCAUGGGCUCAACCCAUGAACUGCUUUCAAAACUGUUUUUCUUGAGUAGUGCAGAGGUAGGCGGAAUUCCCGGUGUAGCGGUGGAAUGCGUAGAUAUCGGGAGGAACACCAGUGGCGAAGGCGGCCUACUGGGCACCAACUGACGCUGAGGCUCGAAAGUGUGGGUAGCAAACAGGAUUAGAUACCCUGGUAGUCCACACCGUAAACGAUGAUUACUAGGUGUUGGAGGAUUGACCCCUUCAGUGCCGCAGUUAACACAAUAAGUAAUCCACCUGGGGAGUACGACCGCAAGGUUGAA
This 834-nucleotide ribosomal RNA is filed under the name uncultured bacterium. Its description in RNAcentral is "bacterial SSU rRNA". It matches the Rfam family "Bacterial small subunit ribosomal RNA", at positions 51 to 898 of the family's 1533-position model. The record is from RNAcentral.